CCCAAUUUGGGCAUGUUUGUGCUAUAACGAAAAACGAAACGAAAUAACGAAAUAACGGAAAAACAAAGUGAUGUAAUAACGUUAAACGAAAAACAUAACGUAACGGAAUUAUCUGUGCAACGAAAUAACGGAAAAAUAACGUAACGAAAAAUUUCACAAAUCUGAAACGAAACGAUAUAACGUAACGAAAAAAAAAAUUCGUUAUGACAACACUGCUUUUGCCAAUGAAUAAUCUCAAAUUCCUCUCAAUUGUUCAAGUUUUUCCACAAUGACUGUCUCAUUACUCUCAUUACGUCAAAAAAUUCCAAAUUCACACUAUAAAGUUCAUUUCCGUUCACAGUCAGAUCACCAAAUUUUGAACUCCGGUGAUCGGAGAUCAGAUCAUUCACUUGAAAAGUGAUCGUGAUCAGAUCACGUGAUUGGGUGUGAUCUUUCACAAAACUGCGAGGAACAAAUUAAUUUCAGAAGCUGGAGCCGGAGCCUAAACCGGAACAAAAACAAUUUUGCUCCCCAACACUGAUUCAGAGGAAUACUUGGUCAUCCAACACCAAACCACUGACAAGGGGUCAGCACAUUGCUCUGCUGUUUCUUCUGGAUACCCACAUUUGCAGGUUGCCUCGUUUCUUCGGUGGACCCUAUCAAUAGCCCAUGCUUGCCUUUAUUUUUCAACACUGUAACCUUGUAAUUCUCAAGAAUAUCUAGGUACAUAUAAGUAUAUGAGGUAGGUAAGUACUCGUAUUUUUACAAUAAAAAUAUUACGAGUACCUACUAUUUUUAAUCAAAAAUAUGCUCGAUGGACUAUUUUACUAUAAUUUUAUCAUUAAAGCAAGUUUUAAAAUUUUGUACCUGUCCUGCAACUUUCACGAAUCUUGUACAGAUACCUAGAUAUACUAUGUACAUUGUACAGGGUGCCCAGAAAUAUCGAGCACCCCUAAGAAAGUUUUUCAUUUAAAAGUAUAGGUUGGCAAUGGCAACGUGAAAUAGAUGCAUCUGAUUGGUGGAAUGUUAUUUCUCCAGUCCAACAACCAAUCAUGUGCUAUCAUUAUUAUCAUUCACUGUGACCAACCAAAGUAUUUUAGUAGAAAACUUUUUUAAGGGUGCUCGAUAUUUCUGGGCACCCUGUACCUAGCUGCCUACUUAAUUAUACCCAAGUACGGGGUGCGCAAAAAUAUCGUGAACCCCAAAGGAAGUUUUUCAUUAAAAAUAUAGGUUGCUAACCUGAAAUAACAACCAAUCAUGUGAUAUCACUGAGUAUUAUCAUUCACUGUGACCUGUGACCAUCUGAAAUAUUUGGCAGAAACCUUUUCUAGGGGUUCAUGAUAUUUCUGCGCACCCUGUAAAAGUAGGUAAGUAGGUAUCCAAAAUCCAAACCGAUGUGAAGAUAAUUUUUAUUGAAAAAAAUAAUCUCUUAUCAAUCAAUGAUAGGCUAUUACUUUUUGACCCUAUGGUAAUAAAAUGAUCAAAGAUUAGUACUUUUUGCAUGGUAUGAACACUGUGGCCUUAUAUUACGAGAAAAUUCUGUGUGAUAAAAUUAUCGCCGAGGAUAAAUGAAAACUGUUUAAUUACAGUACCAAUCUAUAUACAUAUACGUAUUAACGUCUAAAAAUUCAAAUUCUGUUUAUUCAUUUUAUUAAAGCCUCACCAUGAACAUGAGCCAGUACGGUGUAUUUUUCAUAGUAUACUCUCCUUGUGGUACUGCACCUUUUUGAGCACCCAAGCGCCAAUCCACAAUAACGGCGAGAAUGAUAUGCCCGAGAUCAUCGAUUAUGAAGAUGAAGCCCUACGAUUGGUCCAUGUUACAGCUGCUCCUCUACAAUAAAAACAGAAUUAGCUACUGAAUAUUCGAGCGAUGCCGGAAGAUACCAGUUUAUCCUCAUUUGUAAGUUGCCCAGCAAACCAUAUGAACCGAUCUGCGUUAUUUUCUAAACUGUUUCUUAAAUCGAUUAAUCUGGUAAAGAGUUUGUCAUCUCCUUUCACAAACAUCCAUAACCAUUUCUUAGCAUGCCAAGAAGUGGUUAUGGAUGUUUGUGAAAGGAGAUGACAAACUCUUUACCAGAUUAAUCGAUUUGAGGAACCGUUUAGAAAACAACGCAGAUAGGUUCAUCUGGUUUGCUGGGCAAAUUCAAGGUAUCUUCGGUGUCUUCAACGAUGACGUUCACUCCCCCAUUCAGUCUAUUAGAUCCCAAGCUAGUUACACCUGAAAAAUAUUGGCAAGUAUAUGGGUGCACUGAACCCAGACGUCAAGGAAGCCAUGAAAAUCCUUUAUGAAAGUGAAGGAUUCGUGGUAAAUAUUGAUGAAGAUAAAAAGAAAGAUCAGAAACCAACAGGCGGUAUGGUGAAUUAAGAGUCGAAUUUCUAUGAACAUGAAAAAUCCUUUCAUCCGGGUGUAUUUCGAAUAUCGAUGAACGAUGAAAAAAGGCUGCAGAGGAAAAUCAAGUUCUUGUUUUGUAUUUUUUUUUUCAUCAUUGUGUGAUCUUGUUCUGUCAUGUCGAUGUAAAUUUUUGUACUCUAUUCGCAAUCUUGUGAGGGUAAUAUUUGAGGAUAGUCAAGUUACCACCUCGUUUGAAUUUUUUUAAAUAAAUUUUUUGUUAUUGAAUCGAUA
This is a long non-coding RNA of Planococcus citri (citrus mealybug), 2602 nucleotides long. RefSeq lists it as uncharacterized. NCBI's taxonomy places the organism in Eukaryota, Metazoa, Arthropoda, Insecta, Hemiptera, Pseudococcidae. The transcript is spliced from 2 exons. The record is from RefSeq and is a predicted model, not a curated record.